CUUCUGGGGGAGUUAACACCCAGAGUCACAUCGGAUUCGGGUUGGAUCAGGAGCCAUUCAUCUGACCUCAUUUAUCAGGCAAACCCGGGUUCCCCGGUAUCCCGUCGUUUCCAGGGAUACCCUGAAAGAAGGAACUGAGGUUGAACUGAUAUGUUGCCAAUCAAGGGGUAACCACUCCCAUCUCCACCAGAGUCAAAGGGUCAGAGUCAAAAUGCAAUAAUGACCUCAUCAACGACGUGACCUUCGCCAUCGAGUUACCAUCACCACUCCUGAUGUCUUUGUUUCACCUUUGACUCUUGCAACACAGAUCACAUUAUUUGAAGGUCUGCUUCACUUACAUAUUCUAUCAAAUCAUAAAAUUGGGCUUUGCAAUAUUGUUUAGAUUAAUAUUUUAAACCGGACCUUCAAAUAACUGUUCAUGUCUUGACAGACAUUCCCAAAGCUUGCUCAGUUGCUUCCCACAUUGGUUAAAGCUCGAAGCACCAGGUGGUUAGUGCGUUCAUCAUUUGAUCCUGAUUCUCCAAACCUCCAAAUCUUAAACCAAACUAAUGCACACAUUCAAUUAGGAUUCCAUUCCAUUCUCUACAUGCAUAUUUUGAACUUUUUUUUCACCAUGAAGUUGCAAAGCACGUCAAAGCAUCGCCUUUCUGAAGUACCCCAGACGCUUAAGCUCAAAGCCUACAUGGUAGGCAGCUACUAGUUCAAUCCAGGCUGAUUGAACAGCUACUGAGUUGAACUGAAGAUUGACACCCCCUCACCAUCC
Long non-coding RNA from Acanthopagrus latus (yellowfin seabream), 763 nucleotides. RefSeq lists it as uncharacterized. The transcript has 3 exons. Lineage: Eukaryota; Metazoa; Chordata; Actinopteri; Spariformes; Sparidae. The record is from RefSeq and is a predicted model, not a curated record.